This is a long non-coding RNA of Gadus chalcogrammus (walleye pollock), 644 nucleotides long. RefSeq lists it as uncharacterized. The transcript has 3 exons. The record is from RefSeq and is a predicted model, not a curated record. Lineage: Eukaryota; Metazoa; Chordata; Actinopteri; Gadiformes; Gadidae.
UCUUCAGGUGCAGUUGUACUAUGUGCACCGAUGUGAUUGGCUGAUGCAGGUAGGCGGUUCCACAACCAACCGUAUAAGAUCGACUCGUCUUCAUCUGAAUGAUGUGUGUUGGAGAGUAAAGACCAAAGACAAGAUGUUUUCUGUUCAAACUUUGAUCGUUGCCACUCUUCUGACACAGUCGGUCCUUGUUGUGGAGUCUGACGGUCCGGGCAAACUCCCUGAAGGCCAUACUGAAAAAGCUAUCGGUGAUCUGUUUAAAGCAAAGGUUGCUGAAGUGAUAAGAAAGGAUGUGCUGCCACUCCGGAUUGAAGGUGACGUUGGAGCCUCCCUAUCCGCAGUUGUUGAUCCAUAAGGGACUGGCUGGGCCCGCAGUGGAGUACGCAGAUAGUGCGACAGGAGACUGGUCGACCUCUGGUGUAGUGGUUUCACACCACCAGAGUGCAUCGAGUAUCACAUAAAAAAUGAAAAAACAUCCAUCAAUCGUGUUUGUUUCAUUUUUUGUAAAAUCCAAAAUACACGUUAAUAUACCAUAACCUAGGCUAAGAGUGACUUAAGAGUAACCUAGGUCUCGGACACAAGCACUCUGUGGCAGCCAAACUUUUUGUUGUUAAUUAUUGCAUUUGGGGGUACUACUCGAAUAGGGU